Molecule: ribosomal RNA, 440 nt
Filed under: Salmonella enterica subsp. enterica serovar Typhimurium
Lineage: Bacteria; Pseudomonadati; Pseudomonadota; Gammaproteobacteria; Enterobacterales; Enterobacteriaceae
Description: partial 23S ribosomal RNA
Rfam family: Bacterial large subunit ribosomal RNA
Source: RNAcentral
GAAUGCUGACAUAAGUAACGAUAAAGCGGGUGAAAAGCCCGCUCGCCGGAAGACCAAGGGUUCCUGUCCAACGUUAAUCGGGGCAGGGUGAGUCGACCCCUAAGGCGAGGCCGAAAGGCGUAGUCGAUGGGAAACGGGUUAAUAUUCCCGUACUUGGUGUUACUGCGAAGGGGGGACGGAGAAGGCUAUGUUGGCCGGGCGACGGUUGUCCCGGUUUAAGCGUGUAGGUGUGUGUUCCAGGUAAAUCCGGUUCACUUUAACACUGAGGCGUGACGACGAGGCACUACGGUGCUGAAGCAACAAAUGCCCUGCUUCCAGGAAAAGCCUCUAAGCAUCAGGUAACACGAAAUCGUACCCCAAACCGACACAGGUGGUCAGGUAGAGAAUACCAAGGCGCUUGAGAGAACUCGGGUGAAGGAACUAGGCAAAAUGGUGCCGUA